Small nucleolar RNA from Dioscorea cayenensis subsp. rotundata (Guinea yam), 139 nucleotides. RefSeq annotates it as small nucleolar RNA Z247. Lineage: Eukaryota; Viridiplantae; Streptophyta; Magnoliopsida; Dioscoreales; Dioscoreaceae. The record is from RefSeq and is a predicted model, not a curated record. The transcript has a single exon.
CCACUGGAUGACGAAGAGAUGGUUUCGUAUAUCCUCGCUGGCCUUGACAUCGACUUCAAUCCUCUUGUUGCCGCCCUUGUCUCAAGGGUGGAACCAAUCUAAGUUUCCGAAUUAUAUGCUCAGCUUCUAAGUUUUGAGA